RNAcentral lists this ribosomal RNA (253 nucleotides) under uncultured bacterium. RNAcentral's name for it is "partial 16S ribosomal RNA". It matches the Rfam family "Bacterial small subunit ribosomal RNA", at positions 524 to 776 of the family's 1533-position model. The record is from RNAcentral.
UACGGGGGGGGCAAGCGUUGUUCGGAAUUACUGGGCGUAAAGGGCUCGUAGGUGGCCAACUAAGUCAGACGUGAAAUCCCCAGGCUCAACUUGGGAACUGCGUCUGAUACUGGAUGGCUUGAAUUCGGGAGAGGGAUGCAGGAUUCCAGGUGUAGCGGUGAAAUGCGUAGAUAUCUGGAGGAAUACCGGUGGCGAAGGCGGCAUCCUGGACCGAGAUUGACACUGAUGAGCGAAAGCCAGGGGAGCAAACGGG